GACGAACGCUGGCGGCGUGCUUAACACAUGCAAGUCGAACGGAAAGGCCCUGCUUUUGUGGGGUGCUCGAGUGGCGAACGGGUGAGUAACACGUGAGUAACCUGCCCUUGACUUUGGGAUAACUUCAGGAAACUGGGGCUAAUACCGGAUAGGAGCUCCUGCUGCAUGGUGGGGGUUGGAAAGUUUCGGCGGUUGGGGAUGGACUCGCGGCUUAUCAGCUUGUUGGUGGGGUAGUGGCUUACCAAGGCUUUGACGGGUAGCCGGCCUGAGAGGGCGACCGGCCACAUUGGGACUGAGAUACGGCCCAGACUCCUACGGGAGGCAGCAGGGGGGAAUAUUGCACAAUGGGCGGAAGCCUGAUGCAGCAACGCCGCGUGCGGGAUGACGGCCUUCGGGUUGUAAACCGCUUUCGCCUGUGACGAAGCGUGAGUGACGGUAAUGGGUAAAGAAGCACCGGCUAACUACGUG
This 468-nucleotide ribosomal RNA is filed under the name uncultured bacterium. Its description in RNAcentral is "partial 16S ribosomal RNA". It matches the Rfam family "Bacterial small subunit ribosomal RNA", at positions 28 to 507 of the family's 1533-position model. The record is from RNAcentral.